CCUUGUUUGGUAAGAAUUCUUAGUCUAGAAACUUGUCAUUUGUGGUUAUUUAGGUGAAACAGCUAGACGUUUUAGAGGAAAUAAAUUGCCUAAAUUGGCGAACGUAUGUGUUACUCCUCUGUCAACCAGAAGCCCUACAUUGUUUUGGAUAUUUGCGACUUGUAAUAAUAAACUAGUUGCCAACUAUUGGUUGGAAUUCUUUUUAGGACCCACGACAUACGAAACCAACACAUUCUUCCACCACACGAUAAAUACCAAUUAUUUAUGGUUAUAUAUUGUUGAUUGUGAUAUUGGACGACUAACUGCAAGAAAGGUUGGGUUUUGAUGUACGUAUUGCGUACCGACCUUCCUACUUCCUAGAGCUAGUUGACGUUCAACUUAGAUUUGCAAGCGUGUUGGCUGAUUUAUGUAAUUUAUUAUGUAUUUUAUGUUCCUGAAUGAUUGAUUUUAUUACACAAAUGAGAAUUAGAAUUAUAUAUUCUGGUUGUUGGCUUCUUUGUGUUUAUGAAAACAAAUUGAUAGCACAAUUAUUUUCAAUCCAUAAUUCUUUUAUGUUUACAAAUACAUAUGAAGAUUAAAAAAGUGUGCCCUCCUCCGCAAGGUUUGUUCAGGAAGGGUGAGUUAGGGCUUAAAAUCAAGCCAAAGGGUGUAGUUGAUGGACAACAUGUGAAUAUUUAUGUACCCAUUGUUUGUUACGAGGGAUGGAGGAGGUUAGGUUAGCCGAAAUAUAAUUAUCGAUAUAAGGACGUUGGGUGCUCUUAAUUUUUUAGGUAAAAAUGGAUGAAAAAAAAAAGUUUCAAGCCAAUAUUCGAGGCACCACGACGCUGAAGUAAUCCAUGUUCAUCUUCCUCUCAUACACUCAUGAUACUUUUAGAAAUUAUAAUAUACUUGCAGACCAUGUCGACCCUCCCUAUUUAAUUUUGUAAACUAAUAUAUGAUGUAUAUAAAAAAUCAGGAAUCAAACUAGAGGAGCUAACUGAUCCGACACAUAUUCGUCUUUUCUCUUUCCGUUAUUUACCUUUUUUUUAAUUUCAAAUAAAUAAACUUAUCACAUGUUAAAAAAUUAGAAAACAAACAGUCACGAUUGAAAAUGCAAUACUAUGAUUAAUAAUUAUUAAUAAAUUUGGAAACAAAAAAAUGUUCAAUAUGUUUGUUAUAUAGAUAGAGUAGGAUUCUCUUCCCACAAAUCUCCUCCCCAUUUCUCUCAUUCUCUCUCACUUUCCUUUUUUUUUUUUUUUCUCUUCCGAUAUAAAAAAUUAACACAAGAAAUAACUUAAUUGAGACCGUUUAAAUAAAAUAAGAAAAAUAAAAUAAAAUUUAGAAGAAAAAAAAAAAUCCUACCCUCACAGAAAAUAAAACCGGUCAAACUCGCUGAAUAAGGAUUUAAGAAUCGGAACAAAAUAUGCACGACUUUGAUAUUUAUACAAAAAUUAUAAACACCUUAUUCAAACCUACCUAAUUUACAAAUCAGUUCAAAUAAGAACCCAAUAUAUACCAAGUCUUGACAUUAUUCUCAUCUACUUGUCUCUCCUCCUCCUCCUCGAAUUAUUUCUUCACCGUUUUCCUACCAACGUUAUCAUCCAAUACAAUCACAGAUAUAGAAAAGCUUAACUGGGUUUCAGACAGACAGACAGAGAUGAGUGGUGACGAUCACAGCAUGAUCGUGGAGAGGGCACUAAACAGCCUAGGCAAAGGAUUUGAUUUGACGUCAGAUUUCCGACUGAAAUACUGCAAAGGAGGCAAACAAAGAUUGGUUGUGCUCAACGACACCGAUAAAAGAGAACUCACAGUUCCUGGUUUCAGAACCAUUCAGAACGUCUCCGUCGACAUUAAAUGUGACAAAGGCGACCGUACUCGUUACCAAUCCGAUAUCCUCACCUUCAAUCAGGUAUAUAUGCAUACACAACCUUUAUUUUUCUACAAAUAAUAAAGGAUCAAAUUAAUUAUAAACGAAGAAGAAGGUUAAGGUUCUACCGUAAAUUUAAUCAAUUACUUAUAUUAGUGAGUAUAAUUCAUGCAGAUGUCGGAGUUUUUCAACCAAAGGUCGAGUGUGCCGGGGAAAAUCCCAUCAGGGCUGUUCAACGCUAUGUUUGGAUUCGACAGCGGUUCGUGGGCAAAGGAUGCAGCAAACAUCAAGCACUUGGCUCUUGAUGGCUACUACAUCAUAUUCUUCAAUGUUCAUAUUGAUAGAUACCCUCUUGUUCUCGCCGACGAAGUCCGUGAGUCCGUUCCAUCCACCUGGGAUCCUCCUGCCCUUGCAAGGUGUGUAUAUAUGCAUACCAUUGUUUUUAUUUUUAAUAUACAAUGAAAUUAUAAUUUAAGUUAAGAUAAAUCUAAUAAAUUGAUAUCGAACUAAUCAUUUACGAAAAUCAAACAUAAGGCCUCCUAGUUACAUGUGAAGAGAAAGAAUACAAGACUAUAGUACUGGUAGUCAUGCAUCAGUAAUUCAAUUAAGAUUGAUGAUAUGAAAUUUAGGGUUUUUACUUGUAAGUUAUUUUUCACGAGGAAACGAAUUUUGAAGGUUUUGGGUGCCUCCUAACUCUCCCACCAUGCCAGACUUAAUUACAUCCCUGAUUUUAACUUAAACAUAUGUUAUACAAAAUUGUACGGAGCAACUGCAGCUUUAUCUUAUUGUAUAUGAUAAUAAAAUAGAAAAAAUAAAGGUAAAAAGAUGGUUGGUUUCAAAUAAGGUUCAGAUAUUCUUGAAUUAUUCAAAUAUACUUGGUUUUUUUACUCACAAAUCUUAUGAAUUUAUUUAGAUGAAGAUUUUUUUUUUCCCAAAAGCUAGGCCUUAAUUUUCGUACCAAAAAAGAAAAAUACAGGACCACUUUCUUUCUACUUUCGUUUUUUGUUAGAAGCUAGCCAUAACAUUGUCAACUAUGUUAUUAAUUAACGCGCUUUUAUAAAGAAAUCCCAUGUUUUCCCCACUAAUUAUGCAAACUACGAUGCCUAUGAUUUGUGCCUUGUGAUCUUGAUGUUGUUUGGCAAUCAAUAAAAUAUAUGUUGUGUAUAUAUACACACACAUAAAAAAAAAAGCAAAUUGACGGCGAGAAAUAUAUAUGCCAUUAUUGGAUAUUGAAAUACUGUCUGACCUACUGACUAGAUUUUCCUUGGUUUUGGCCAUUCAUCCACAUGCAUGCAUGCUUGAUUUCUGUUUUCUUUGGAUAAAAUAUUUAAUAGAAUUUGACUUAGUAAAGUUGGUUAGAAUAUAUAAUUUUCGUUCAAGAAUUUUAUAGGGCUCGUUUAGAAGUACUUUUAAAAUUAUUGAAAACGUUUUUGGUGAAACUAAUUUUGAUUUCCAAAAGCACUUUAAGUGAUUUUUGGAAUAAGUAAUAGAUAUGUGUUUCUUACAGGAAACACUUUAAGUACUUUUCUAAGAUCAACUUGUAUUUUUACUAAGGAUUGGUUUCAAAUACAUUUUUAUCAAAACAUUUUUCUGUCAUUUUAAAAACAUUUCCAAACAAUCUCAUAUUUUGUAGAAGGAAAUAUAUAGUCAACAUUUCCAGCCACAUUGAGAUUUGAAAAACCUAGUUUAUACUAAAAGUGUAUGUGUACAUGUACUGUCUCCCAUGGGGCUUGAAAAUUAGUAGAAGUCACAUAAUUGGGCGGUUCUCUAUUAUAGCUGUUUUUACAUUGUGGACCGUUCCUAUUUGGACUGACCAAUUCUUUGGUUUUGGAAUAUUUGGCUGUCUGGUAAACAUGUACUGGCUACUGGGACGUUACUUACCGGACAAAGAAUUUCACAAUCUUAGGAUCGUUAUAGUCCAGCCGUUGUUCACCGAAGCUUUUACUUUUGUCGAUCAUCUCUUUAUAGAUCAUUUCACUACACAAAAUCUAGUUUACCAAUUCCGCUCAAGGGGAGCUGCAACUUAGCGUUCUGCUCAAUUUAAUUUGUCUAAAACUUUUAUCUUUGAAUACCAGACAACCAUUUUGCUCUUAUUUGACAUUAACUGUGUGCACAUUUGACAGAUUCAUUGAGAAAUAUGGCACUCACAUCGUCGUGGGAUUGAGUGUUGGGGGCGAGGAUGUUGUCUUAGUAAAGCAAGAUAAAUCUUCAAACAUGCAGCCAUCGGACCUCAAAAAUCACUUGAAUGAGCUUGGAGAUCAGCAAUUUACAGGGGCAUGCAGUUUCUCCCCAUCACACUCCAAAUCCAAAGACCAAAAACACAAGGUAUAUAAAUGUAUAGAAAAGUUUUUUUAACGUGCAGUGUCAACGACAUGUGAUGCACCUAACGCCCAUAUUAUAUGAAUAAAUAUAACAUGAUAAUUGAGUAAACAUUUGUCACAUCACCAACAAAUUAAAUAUAUAUAUAUAUACAGGGAGCUUAAGGGGAGGGAUCCCCAUUUUUUCAAAAAAAAUGGGGACACGCUCCCCACCGUUAGAUUGACUUUAAUGAAAUUGUGUAGUUGAGAUUAAAACACAGGCCAUAGAAUCUCAACCACAUGAUUUCAUUUAAUUCAAAUCCAACGGUGGGGAGCGUGUCCCCAUUUUUUUGAAAAAAUAGGGAUCCUUCCCCUUAAGCAAUUCCUAUAUAUAUAUAUUACUCGCUUACUAUAUACAGUUUUAAUCCUCAUAAUAUUUGAGCCAUAAUAAUAUUUGCACAUGGUUUAAUUGCAGGCACCACAGACAAUCAGUGUCUUUCAUGAUCCUCAGUUGGCCAUUAAUGGCUUCUCAACCACAAAAUCAAAAGAUGUAUGUAGGUUCUACUAUAUAUUGCACUACUAAUAUGGAUAUAUACUACUCAUUUUAAUGAAAGGAGCAUGCAUUAGGGAAAAUUAAUCAGUCAAUUAAAAGAUUAGCAGUACUUGUCAUGACGACGUGGCAGAUGAAUUUUGCAGGGUAUUAGUGUGAUAUUCUAUAAAAAAGGAGGCGAUCUGCUGGCCAGCAGCCACUACGAGUGGCUUCUCACAGCUCCAUCAAUGCCGGACGCAAUUCAGUUUAGUUUCAUUCCGAUCACUUCUCUGCUCAAAGAUGUGCCAGGCAAGGGUUUCCUGUCGCAUGCCAUCAACCUCUAUCUUCGAUGUAAGUUCAAUUUAUUUGUAAUGCCUUUUGCGUUCUUACUAGUUUUCAUCACAUGAGUUAACCCAGUUAGUUAACGCACUAUGCCCGCUACACCGCACCAUAUUCAAUUCCCCUUUUCUGUUAAUUAGAGUAAUUCAUAACAUUGCUUAAUUUAUCCUUUUAAUUUUGUAUGUGUUACUUGCAGACAAGCCUCCAAUAGAUGAUCUGCAGUACUUUCUGGACUUUCAAACCCACAAACUUUGGGCUCCUGUUCUCAAUGGGUUGGCUCUAGGCCCAGCCUCCAAUAGGAAGACUCGGUCCCCUGCAAUCCACGUCAACCGGAUGGGUCCUAAACUAUAUGUAAACUCUGCGCAAGUUAGGGUUGCAUUUAGGCCUGUCACGGGGAUGCGCUUGUAUCUUGAGGGCAGGAAAGCCAACAGGUACUAGUACUUCUGCAUGAAAUUCAAUUAAUUAUCACGUAAUCAACUUUCGUUAUUUACUGUUUGUACUUAAUUUUAAAUAAAAAAAUUCAAAAUGACUUUUAGUCGCAGAAUAUACGAUGAACAUAUAAAAUAUGAGAAUCCCUGAGAUCCUUACGGAUAGAAUCCGGAUGGGAUCCAAAUCCUAAAAAAUGGGAUAGAAAGGGAUGAUAAGUGUCAAAAUCCAAUAAAGUGAUAAACUGGAAUUGUUGAUCACGAUGAGAAACCCUAAUAGUACAACGUUAUCAAGCUAUGUACAUAAUGAUGAAAAAUGCCUUACUGUUACCUGAUCUCAGGCUAGCCGUCCACCUCCAACAUCUAUCAAACACACCAUUCAUGUUGCAAAACAAGAUAGAUGACACACCAACAUGGCGAGGAUCGGAUGAAAUUGCCGACGACCGCUACUUUGAAGCCAUAAACCGGAAAAAGAUUUCCCAUGUGUGCACUGUACCGGUAAAAUACGACCCCAAAUGGAUGUCGUCCAAGAAAGAUGCGUCCUUCAUAGUGUCCGGGGUCCAGCUUGUUGUAAAGAAGCAUGACACAAAGAAUGUCCUCCAUCUUCGGCUCUUGUUCUCCAAAGUCUCAGAUCAUUUCGUUGUCCAAUCAAAUUGGACUGAACCACCGUCGGAACAUUCCCAAAAGUCGUCAUCGUCCGGUCUCUUCAGUGCCAUAAGUACAUCGAUUUCGGGGAGUAAUUGGUCGAGAGAUAGAGUACUGCCCGAUGAUGAUCGAGUGAUUGUGGAUUCGAGUGUGUUCCCGACAGGGCCUCCGGUGCCGCUGCAGUUACAAAAGUUUGUGAAGUACGUGGACAUGUCACAUCUGUGUAGGGGCCCACAAGACGGUCCAGGGUAUUGGUUGGUCACUGGAGCUAGGCUCAACUUAGUGAAGGGGAAGAUAAGUUUGCAAGUCAAGUUCUCUUUGUUAAACUUAUGUUCACCAUCACCAUCAGUCACCCUCCGAGAUUUGAUGUACAACGUUGUGGAUUUGGAAGCAUAAUUUUUUAAUUCUUUGGUAAACUAUAGCACAAAAGCUAUCUAGCUUAUACUCUCUUGAGUUUGUCGCUCUAAAAAUGUAUAGAGUGUAGAGUAAUACUUUAAGAGAGUUUUAUUUUACAAGGUUGUAGAUAAUUCAAAUUUAUCGGACUCUUAUUUCUUAAUACAUUUUCAGAAUAAUUUGAGUGCACUUGUAAGUAACUAUCCCCUAAACCUUAAAAUUCUAAUUCAACCGAUUGCGUGAUUUUUUCACUAUAUUGGCCGCAUUCUUGAAUUCGAGUUCAAAUUAAUCUCUUUUUAAACUAUCGUGUGUAUAAAAACAAAAGCCGAAAAACUAGAAAGAUAGCCAACUCUUAAAGGGUUUAUAUGCCCCUACUACGGUUGCUAAGAUUUACUUAGUAAAUUAGAUAGUGCAUAUAUAUACAUAUAUUAAUCAUGAUCCCCCACACUACGACACCCAACCUACCUGCCUACGACCGUGUCCAUAUAAUAGGCAGUAUCUAUUCUGCCAUACAAUUACAAAGCUAGAGCUACGGCGAAUCUUUUGUCUCCAACCUUAAUUAUAUUACUCCGUUAAUUGGUGCUUUAUUUUAGAUCACAAUAUCGAAUACGAUUAAUAAUUUAAUUAGGUGCUACAUCCAUGGUGAUUGGUGAGGACCACCAUAUGCUUUAGCAGAUGAAAAUAUUUUUUUUUAAGCAGAGCACCCGUAAAAUAUGAGUUCCAUAACAAGUAGUCAAGAACACAAACACAAUAUUACCUCAGGUAACCGUUAAUAAUCUUGAAAUCUAAACCCUAAAUUAACGUUGUUGGCAUGCUGGCUACAGUUAUUUAACCUGCUUCCUUAAAGUCAACAAAUCCAGGGACACACCAUUUCGUAAGCAAAUGAUCUAAUAUUCAAACCUGCUCAAACACACAUGCAUUACAUAUAAUGGCGAAUAAAAUUCCACAUCGAAGCUAAGUGGUUAAGUUAAAUAUAAUAUCGGUAAUGUUAGGAAAUAUUAUCAACAUUAAUUUAGGAAAUAUCUAAAGAAGUAGCCAUCUAUUUAGUGUUGUUGAGAUGAAGAGUUACUGUCAAUAGCCUGUAAAAAAAUGGAGAAUGGCGCAAGGGCAAACUGAGAUUAGUGCUUCAAGCUUUAGAAAGUUGUCAUGUGUCAUGUCGUUUUAUGUUAAGCUUCUGUAAUAUAUAAAUAUAGCAUGGUCCAUAACCCUAGCUAGCUAGCUAGCUAGCUAGCUCUUAAUCUCACUCUCACCAAAUUGUCAAUAUAUUUAAGGAUGAUGAUCGUCUAUCUGGCCACAUUUAUAUUUAUGCUAAUCGUACACUUAAUUUGUUUAAAAUACUUACUAAUUACUGAAACCCAACAAACCCUAAAAGUGGUCCUCGAUCAGCCGAACAUUUCAAAUAUACAUGUAUAUGUUCUAUGUAUGGCUAGCGCCUUCCCUCUAACCUGCAGUAUUAUCAUCGAUCCUUUUUAAAUAAAUAAUAAUAAACAUGAAUUUUUUUUUUUCAAGAACAAUCUUGAAAUUUGAAGUGAUAAUACAAUUAACUUGGCUAUAAUUAUGUUUAUGUUAACGUAUAUGCUGGGUUACAUAUAUAUGUCAUAUACGCGGUUCAUUACAUGGCCAAAAUGCACGCUUUGAAUAUGAAAAGGACGGCAAAAAAUAGAAAAAGAAAAAGGUUUGGAGAAAAUCAGGAUUCAUUAAUUUAAAAGCAAGCAAAUUCUUGACAAAGGUUUUGCACAGAAUUACAAAUGCUCGUUAUAUAGAUUCAUAUGGUUGACCCUGAGAAAGAUUUACUUUGCCCUAUAUAGAUUACAUGUAAUUGUUUAAACUAGGAAAUGAUAUAUGCUGACAAAAAAAAAAUGUUUUAAAUAUUAUUCAAGUGUAUUUGUCUUUCUAAAUAUAAAAAGUUUGGACUUUAGAAUGCAAAUAAAAAUUUUAGAGUACCAAUAACAAUUUUAUCUAUAUAUAUUUGACUUAUUUUCCCAGUUUAUUUAAAAGUGUGAAAUAACAGAUUGAGGUCUUUGUAAUUAAUAUAAGGUAGUGGUGGUACCAACACGUUGCAUGAGCAUUUGUUCCCCUUGGUCCUUGAGUUGUUCUAUAUAAUCCCACGCCUACUAAUCUCAUUCUUCACAAAUCAAAUCUACUUGCCUCUAUAAGCUUCUAAUUAUAUGGCAGAAGGGGAUCGAACGAUGUUGUCGGGUUCAGCUGAUCCCAUGAAUCUCAACGGAGAUCAUGAAAAUAGAGCGAAACCGGUCACAGGUCCGCUGCCUAUGAACGGUGGAAAUGGCACUUACAGCUACUCCAAGAACUCCUCCUACCAGGUAUAAAUCCCAUGAUUUAAUAUGUAUUUAGUUUUUUUUGUUUGUUUGUAAAUAUAUAUCAUGCAUAUCAUGUAUGCAUGAAACCCUAGCUAUGUAAUGCAUGACCUCGACUUUACCAACUAAUAUUAUGAUCAUGUGCAUGCUAUACAUAUACACAUAUAUAUACACGAAGUUUCAUUCUCCUAGACUCAUGGUUCAAAGAAAUUAUGAUCAACCACCGUUCGAUCUCAAAUGGUAGGUGAUCAUUUAAUUUUUGUUGUUGCACUUUAAAGUCGAAUAGUGAAUGACCAUAAUUUUCUUAAAACAUGCGGUCAAGGAGAAUGGGAGUUUAUACAGACAUGCAUGAUAUAUAGUUUCUAUAUCAAGCUUCAGUUUUGGUUUUCAUUCGUUGCCGAGACCGUAUGGCGCCCAUGUAUAUAUUUGCUACCUACAAGCCUAGCUAGCUAAUUCCUUGCCCUACGAUCUUGCCUUUUGUUUUUUUCUUAAAUUCUUAGAAUACCAGGGAAUAAAGGGCAAAAGAACAAUUCUGUAUUUGGGAGUUUUACUUCUUCUUUUUUUUCUUUCUUUUUUUCAUAAAUUUUGACAAUAUAAUCAGCUCCAUCCAUUUGCAUAUCGGGUUCUCCAUUAACAUCCGAAUAUGUGUUUUAAAAUUAACAAUUAGACAUUGGUUGCUUUCCUAUAAAGAUUGGAUUCACCUCCACUAUAAUAUGGAUGGUACUGAAAUUUUUGUAACAUUGCAAUUGUGAUACAUCGUCAUUUAAAAUCAUCAUCAUUGCCAUAUUGGGUAUAAGUAAGGUAAUCUUAGUUUUAGGUUGCCCCCACUAAAAGAAAUUUCCAACUCCAUCCCUGACUAUUAACAUAUUGGUUUAUUAGAAUGUUGGACGGACAAAACGAAUUCAUAUCCUUUGGUUUUGUAUUUUUUAGAAUUAGUACUAUUUCAGAUACGAGCUUAGGCAUGUUGGUUUAUAGAGCAAUUUGCUUCUCUUCUGCACUCAAGUUUAAAUCAUUCUCCUCAUAAUUUAGAUGAAUUUAGUGUAAAAUUUCACUUGUAUUAGGUUAAUGGUACCGUUAAUUUUGUAGAAAGAAUCUGCUGAUCUUGAGAAGGGAAAAAUCAUUGAGGAAAUUGAGGAGAAGCUUGAUAUGAAAAAACUCUCAUCUUUUUCAAACACCAUUUGUCUAGCAGACUUGGGAUGUUCCACUGGACCAAACACUUUCAUGAUAAUUCAAGAAAUACUAGAAGCUAUGCAACGCAAACACCGAUCCCAAUUAUCCCAAUCAUGUCCCAAAGCUGAUCAACAGUACUCUGAUGAUCAUCAAAUGCCUGAAUUUCAAGUCUUCUUUAACGACCUAGAGGCGAAUGACUUCAAUACCCUCUUCACCUCUCUCCCACAAGACAGGAAAUACUUUGCAGCCGGCGUGCCCGGUUCUUUCCAUCGCCGUUUGUUUCCCGAGUCGUCUAUCCACUUUGUACAUACCUCAUCUAGUCUUCAUUGGAUCUCCAAGUCGCCUGAAGUAUUGCAAAACAAGGACUCUCCGGCGUGGAACAAGGGCAGGAUUCAUUACACAAGUGCCCCGGAUGAAGUGGUUGAUGCUUACGCGGCGCAGUUUGCCGAGGACAUGAAGAACUUUUUGAAUGUUAGGGCCACAGAGCUUGUGCCUGGAGGAAUGAUGGUAAUGAUCUUGUCUGGAAUCCCCAAAGGGAUGCCUUAUUCUGAAAUCCCAGCGGGUAUGUUGUACAAUUGUAUAUCGUCUAGCCUCAUGGAUAUGGCAAAAGAGGUAAUAUCGAUAACUCAUUAUUUAUAAGCUCCUAUAAUUUACAUUGAAAUAUUAAAAUAACUUUGGUGUGUGUGUUAAAGGAUAUCACAUAAUGGACAAAAACAAUGAAAGUCGAAUUUCACAAGCUGAGGCUCUAAAAAGUGAAGAGACGCCAACAAGUGUUUUUACUUGAAAAUAUAUGUUGAUAGAACUUUUUACAAUUCUUUAGGAAAGAAAAAAUUCACUAACUGAAAUGUCUUUAUUGCUCUCUAAUAAAAAAUGUUUUUAUUUUUGAUAUUUGAAGCAGAACCAUAGAUUUUCCUUCUCUAAUUUUUUCCUCAAGGAGGUGUUUUAGAAAAUAAAAUAAUUGUUGACCCACGUACAUAAUAAUUAAAAAGAAUAACAUAAUUAUAUACAGUUAAAACAGAGAUGACUAGAAAAGAACAAUUGUAUAAAUUCAUGUUGGAAAAUGUUGUAUUUCCUUUUCUUCCACAGGGAAUAAUUGAAGAAAGUGAAGUGGAUUCCUUCAACUUGCCAUAUUAUGCAGCCUCGUUAGAGGAGAUGGAGGAGAUAGUAGAGAAAAACGGGUGUUUUAAGAUAGAGAGAAUGGAGUCGUCAAACCCAGCAGCAUGGCUGCAAAAUCGUCCAGUUGACAUACCAACUUUGGUGAAACAUGUAAGGGCUGCAGUGGAGGGGAUGUUUGCCAGACACUUUGGAAGUGAGGUCAUGGAUGAAAUGUUCGGAAGAGUGACCGAUAAACUUCUAGACAUUUCCGACCUCGUAAACUCACGGCGCGACGAGAAAAGUCAGUUGCUUGCUGUUCUCAAACGCAAAUGAUUCUGACUAAAACUGAAAUAUUAUUGCUUCAUCAUCUUAUUCAAGAAAAUAAAAGGGAACAAAAGGAGAGAGAUUGGAAUUCAUCAUCAAACGUAAAUGCUAGUGUGUACUUGAUAAAGCCUUAUCCCAAUUAUCGUCAAAAUACUUAUAUUUAUUUUUCUUUUGUCGUCUACAGAAACAAUCAUUACAACAACAAACCCUUAUUCCACUAAAUUUUGUACAACAACAUGAUAAUUCAAGAAUUUCAAACUAACCGUCAUUAUAGAAUUUUCUAUUUUUUAAUCAUCAUUAAAAUCAAAUCAACCCUUAGAGCACUUCCACCGGGGUGCAAAUGUGCCAGCACCCAGUCAAAAAACCAAGCUGGGGGUCAGUCCAUUCACUCCAGCCCACAAACUUGCCUGGCACCCAGCCCAAGCCAGGUAACAGACCAGCCCAUUUUUGACAGACCCAGAGACCAGCCUAUUUGGCUAACGCGUGCAGUUCACUCGCGAGUGGGCGCGAGUAGGGGACAUGGGUGCAGGCGGCGAGGCCCGCUGUCAGCCCACUUGUUCUUCACCCGGAAGUAGGCGACAUGGCCCUCUCAAUGCUAUUAGAUUUCCAACGGCUAGUUUUUCUCGACCGUUGGAUUUCCAACAUUAAAAAAAAUUUAAAUUUUACUUUUAAAAUAGACCGUCCAAUCACAUAUUAACGGUCCACCUUUUUUUCCCCAAAAAUAAAAAUAAAAAGGCCCAACGGUCAGAAUUAUGACUGUUGGCCACGUGCCAGCUCCUUGGCUCUUGGAUUUGAAUAUUUUUCAAAUUCAACGGUCCAGAUUAAUUAACUACAUUAAAAAUUAUUAAAAAUUAUGAAAAAAUACAGAAUUUUUUUUUAAAAAUACAUAAAAUUUUAAAUUUUUUUUUCUAUAAAUUAUUGCAAACAGGAAGUGACACGUGGCGCGUCGAGAUUGGUUGAAAAUCUUAUCGAAAAUCUAUCCAUAAAAUAGUAUGUUCGGAUAAUGACACGUGGCGUAAUAAGAUUGGUUGAAAAUCUUAUCAUAAUCUUGGCUAAAUUAUUGUAAACAAAUAGUGACACGUGGCGCAUCGGGAUUGGUUGCAAAUCUAAGCGGAAAUAUAUUCACAUAAUAGUACGUUCGGAUAAUGACACGUGGCGUUACGAGAUUGGUUAAAAAUCUUAUCCGAAAUUAAAACUAUUUUAUUUAUUUAUUCUUUUUAUAAAAUAUUUUAAAUGGGUUGGAUGCCAGCGCAUUUUGUAGGAGUGGAGAUCGUUUGUGCCAGCGCAUUUUUUUAGAGGUGGAGAUGCUUUGGUCUAUUAUUGUUCGCUUGAGUGGAUAAAUGCGCUGGGUCCUGGCGUAAAGUCUUUAGGAGUGGAAUUGCUCUUAGGAAAAAAAAAUUAAAAUUGAGCAUAACCACAUGAUCUUCAAGAGUAAUAGCCUGCAUUCUGACAUCGUGAUCCAAUUCUAUAGUUGGUGCUGGGGUAUAAUCCUUAUGUUGGAUUUGUCUCUGAGGAAUCAAUUCUUGGUCCCAAUAGACAAAGUAGAUAUCUCCAUCAAGAUCACUUCCUGAACAUUCAUUUGGAUGAGUUUAAUGAUGGAACCCAAAUGCAGAACCAUUUUUACAUGUGGUCUAAUAUUGAGAGUUUAAUAUGUUUAGUUUCCUUCAAUAUCUGUACCUAAAUAAAGCAGCAAGGGUAGUGAAAAAAUUGCAUGUCUUGUGCAAUAUACUAUUGUGUAAAAAUUUCCCAUAAUUUGAUUAAUAUACAUUUAGACAUAAUGCAAUUUUUCAUCUCAUCCUUUAAAGACUCAUUUAUAGAAAUUCGAUGAGAAAAAAGGUUGAAAUAACAUUUUAUACUUAUUUUCAAUGUUGUAUGAGAAUGUAUUACUAUUUUAAGUAGACGGCACAUAAAAAUUUAUGAUUUUGCCGUUGAAAUGCUUUGAGAAUGGAUAUUUUAUAAAUUACUUCAUAAUGCAUCCAUUUACAAAGCAUUUCAUAAAUUGCAAGAGACUUUCCAUAAAAUAUCAAUUUACAAAGCAAUUCAUAUAUUGCAAGAAACUUGAAACUCAAAUCAUUACAAGCAUUUAUCCUUACAUAUGAUAUCUUAUGCUAUCACAUACUUGCAUCUCAGUAAACGUUCUAUCCAGGAAAGUACAUCGAGCUUUCAAACCAACUUUCGAGUGUCAGAAACAAGAAACCGAAGAUCAAUCCAUUAUUAUAUUAUACAACAAGCAAAAUACACUCAAAUUUUACCAUCAGCAUAAGCAAUUUACGAGCUUACCCCAUCACCAAGAAACAAACAUCAAAAACUUCCAACUUUCUCAACUCAAAUGCAACCCAUCCCAGAAUUGGCUUUCUAGAGAUGACAUGCGUAUACUUGCUUUAUCCUUUUUGAUGAGGACGAGCUUGUCAUAAACGCACCAUGGAAAGCUGAUGAAAUGGUCACGAUUCAGCCCCUCGUUGUAUGUACCAAAAUAAUCAGGAUGAUAUGUGACAUGGUACCAAGCUGAAGCUUUGGCAUAUACAUCAUCAGCUCCGGAAUCUAAACCAGUUCCCUUCUCAUUGAACCACGCCCUAGCUUCCUUCCUCAACGAUCUCACAGCCACGUUUAUAGACUCUGCAUCCCGCCUCUUAGUGAAAGAUUUUGACAUUCUCAUAACACUCCCACUAAGUAUUUCAGCCUCUGUCUUGAUCCCAUAAUACUCCAUCAGAUUUCCCAACUUGUAAUCAUAAUUGCCCUUGUAAUAGAUAGCAUCUUCAAUGUAAUCCUCAUAGCCAUCAACUACCAUGUCAGAGUCGUAUGACUGCUUCGCCACUUGACGAGUGAAGGAUGUGAUAGAGCUUUCAUGAGGCGCAAUGUCCUUCACCUCACGAAAAAGAGCUCCAAUUACAUUGGAUGACUGAUAGGUGGGUUUGUCAAGUUUUUCCAUGAAAUCUGGAUAUUCCUUGGCAUAUAAAUGUGGAGGUAUUACAGCCGGCACACCAGUUUUUGGAAAGUCAACGGCAAUUGAAAAUAGCUUUGCAAGCUCUAUACAUUCUGCGCUCAUUGCUUUUAAGGGAUCUUUGUCUGCAAACACAGUGUGGGCAUUGGCAAUUAUGCCCAAGCUAUCAUUGACCAUGUAGUUCACAAAAUAUUCUUCAACUUCCUGCACCAAAAGAAAAUGAAGAUCAAGUAUACUGGGUUUUGUUUCUUACAAAAACUGCCCUGUAUGGCAUGAGACAAACGAAAAGGAAAGUGAAUCGAAGCGUUAGAAUCACUGAAGUGUAAAUACAUCAAAAUAAAUUAAAAUUAAGUUUCCCUUUCAAGCAAACAUCAAAGUCAAACAAAACAAAGAACAUCAAAGCUAUCAUCAAGACAUUUUUUCCUUUUGUGGGUCAAGAGAAACGAUCAAAUUCAAUACUCGAAAAACACCACUAGAAGAAGUAUUAUGUUCAGUACUAUACUACGAUCUACCAGCAACAGAAAAGAAUGAGACCAGGAGCGAGAGUCAAAAUUUGGAUUGGUAUCUUAAUUACAAUGUGAAAAAAAGAACUCCAAAUUACUUAUUGAAGAAAUUCCAAGUUUUGUACAGCAACAUGAUAUGAUGAUAACUCAAGAAUUUCGUAUUUAGUACUUGAAUUUUGAAAUUCAAGUAAAUUCUCAACAUGAAAAGUUAGCAAAGGCAGGUAGCCGCCUGGGCGAUGCUGCUUAGUAGGUUGCUUAUUGAAGAGUAUUACCUCAAUUGUGACAUCAUGAUCCAAUUCUAUAGUUGGUGCUGGGGUGUAAUCCAUGGGUUCGAUUUGCUUCCGAGGAAUUAGUUCUUCGUCCCAACAGACAUAGUAGAUAUCUCCAUCAAGAUCACUUCCCGAACAUUCAUUUGGAUGAGGUCUAACAAUAUAAACAAUAUUUCAAUCAUUAAGUAAUGUUUAUGAGAAAGUUUUUGUACUCAAUUAUGCAGAAAAACCAAGGAAAAGUAGAACUUUGUAUGCAACUUAAGAAUUUCUAAGAAAUAGCAACUACAGAGGAAACUAAGUCCAAAUUUGAAACAGAUGUUUGUAAAAAUAAAAUGCAAAGCCGUACUGGUUUAUCACCCGCAGAAAAGAUAUCGACAGAAAUUGCAUUCGAUGGACUCAAGUACAUAACGGUUAUAUGCAUGUUAACUGGAAGAUGUGAUGAUAUUGAUUUUUUCAAUCGAAAUCAGUGUUCUUGAUUUUUACAUUAUAUAAUCUACUGCAAACACAUAAAGACACAGAAUGGAUAUUUUGAACUAAAUUCACGAACUCAUGAUGCAUUACACAUUCUUACCUUGGUCCUUUUUGGGGAAAAACAACACAAUCAACCAUAUGGUACAACUCUGGCACAUCCACAGCCUUUAAAACACGUACAUCGCCAGGGUGCAAACAAGGGUUCUUAGCAACAGCUACCUUCCCCACAAUAAUGAAUCGCUGGUUUGAUGCACUUACAGUAUGCCUGUUACCAGAGAAUUGCACAAACACCUCACCAUAUUCCAAUGUUCUGGUUUCAUCUAGACAUCCCAUCAUUGCUCGUCCAUCUGGAAUAAAGAUUCUUGUUUUCGUCCGCAACUCUAGCAACUUUGAUGCCCGAAAUGUUUGCAGCAUCAUUGAAAUGAAGGGUUCAACAUCAGGUUUAUAACCACAUAUAAGCAAUUCCUUCAAGCAGUUGGUAGUCUCCCCUGCAGACAUCAAAUCCAGAGCCUCUUGUGCUUUUAGUGGGUCAGUCAAUAUAGCAUUCAAUUGUUGUACAGCUGCUGCCUUUUGUUUUUUCAUGAAAGCAGGAUCUGGAACCCCAAGGGUGGAUAAAAGACUUAUCAACUGGCGGUUCAGAAAACAAGGUUGAAUCUUGCUACAUGCUAAAACGUCUAACUUUGUGUUUUCUGAUUCAUACUUGGACAUGCUCCUCCUCAAUGAUAAUUUCAUUGAUGAAGUUGGAUCAACGGCCACCACACACCUUUGUACCCACCAUAUCGAAUCUGAAAGGCAGAUGGAGUCCCAUUAAAGCCACAUUUUGAGGCCACUUUCUUAGCAAAAUCAGCAGAUAUUUUCCCAAUCCCAUCGGAGAAGACAUAUUUAUUGUUUUCUACAUCGGGAAUAACUUCCAUUUCAUGUUUUCCAACAUUUAAAGUUUCAGUGGACGAACCAAAGGAUUGACCUAAUCUGGCAGCAUAUUUUGCUACAUUUUUUAUACGACGAAAAUCCCCCAUCCACUCUCUUAUAUUGGCUGCAGUAAGUCCCCGUCUUGAAGCAAACAUCCACAUAGAAUUCUCUCGCAAUUGACUUGAUGAGAAUGCGAGAAACUCGAAUUUCUUUUCACCAAUUACUAUGCCGUUUCUGAGAAUAAAAAGAAUCCGCUUGUAGAUGUCGGUUUUCCCAUCCUCAUAGGCAGCAGAAGUACGUGGAAGCAAAUCUGAAGAAUAAACUCGAUCCAUCUCCUCGUCAACAAAGGAAACACGAAUGAAGUUAUCAAUAUCAUCUGGAUAAUUGCGUAGUACACGAUUUGAGACAUUGACCUCAGGACCAGAAGAAAAUACACGACAUGGUGUAAUUUGGACCCUGCGUACAUAUACCAACCCAGAAUCUAAGGAUAUGACAGAUGACUGUGGACGUCUCUUUGACGUGAGGUACUUCCUGUACUGCUCAUUAAGCCACUCUGAAGGUUUAUAGCAGGUCUCUUUCAAAUUAUAUAAUUUCUCUAGGGCAUACUCUAUACAUGCACGAUCAAAUCUGUGCGGAUCAACCAUCUUAUAAAAUAUAACAUCAAGUGUUGGCCCUGAAAGAUACCCAAGCUGAAGCAGAGAAUGAACUUUAAACAAGAUAUCAUAUGGCACAUACACAUUGACACCUCGAGGAGGACAAACCAUGGGACCCAGACUCGGGUUGCAAGAAUAAGGGGGACCAACCUCCAAGACAAGGUUACCUUCAAUCUCUUCAUACCCAGGAAAGUUUUCUCGAAAAUCUGGAAGUUGGAGACUAUGAGGAAGCUCCAAGCUUAAUGCAAAAGACUGCCCAAUAGCACGUGAUGGAGUGAAAUCAGUAGUCCUGACCCAUUGAUCAUCAGAGUCCAUGAAAUAGGUCAUACCAAGAUCUUCAUAUGCUUGUCCUGAAGAGCGUAUGACUUUCUUAGAAAUCCGAGGUGCUCCGUACAUCUGAUAAUUGGAGACAAAUCAUCAAACUUUUCAAGAUUACUAAUUCAUAAAAGAGAACAUUUAAUUUUUCGCCAACUGCAGUAGCAUGCUUUGACGAUGUUAAUAAAAAUAUUCCAUUCAUACUAUAUUCUCAGAAUUUUAUCCACUUCCCUCAACACCUCAAAUUGUAGAAACUACAAACUUUUAAAUUCCAUCAAACGAAGAAAAUUGAUUUUUGCUCAAAUCCAGACAAGGAUUACCAUGUUAACCCUUAAAGUGAACAACCCUCAAUUCUCUAGACUGGUGAUUUGACGCUCACCAAUUUGCUAGAAAUGGGAAAGCAGAAAAAGGUCACAUAUAUUUAGAAGCAAAUGCACCAUGUAGAUGAUAUAAAAUUAUUCAAUCGUAAACAGAACAAGGAUUAGGAGAAGACAAUCAUUUGAAUUUAACUGCUGAUUAAAAAUAGGUGAGGAACCUGAAUCAGAAGAUGCUUAGCAGCACAACCGCGUGGACGAUGCAACUCAAUCUGCCAGAUGUUUUCAUAGGAAAGUUCGAUCAUAUACUCCAGAGCGUCAUAUUUCAGACGACAAACUAGUUUCCGCAAUCCAAUCCCAAAAUCCACUGAAACAUUGUUCAUAUUCCAGAAACUAAAUAGCUUAUUUGUUGCGAUCUUGCAGCCAAAAUCCAGCUUUAUGUUUUCAAAGGUAUGCAAAGAGCCUCUUGGCUUUGGUACAAUAUCCUGAUCCAGCUUCCAAGAAUUCAGAUAGGAAGCGCCAUAGUACAAGUUUCUAGCACUGGCCAUGUAGUGAAUAAGAUCAGCAUUUUUGGUGGUGUCAAACUGAACAGUAGCAUAAUAUCUUCUCCCAUCUUUGGCUUUUCUUAAUCUCACAGCAUAGACAGAUCCUUUUCCUGUUUCUUUCUCCAGCAACCGCACAACUGCUUCUGCAGUCACACCGGAAGUGAAUCCAUGCAACCUUAUCGUCCUACUCAUCUCUUAUCAUGUGAAUAUGUUCACUGUAUUUACGCUGACAAAGAAUCCAUAUGAGUAAAAUGUACUUGUAUGGUUUUAUUGAAAUUAUGAAAUUAAGGGCUCGUUUGGGAGAGCUUUUUAAAUGACUAAAAGCGCAUUUGGGGAAAAUGUUUUUGGGUUCCAAAAGCACUUAAACUGCUUCCUACGAGUAGUGGUGCUUCUUGUAGGAAGCACUUCAAGUGCUCUUCCACCAGUUAUGUGCUUGUUUUAGGAAGCAGUACUUCAAGUGUUUUUCCAAAAUUCACCCGCAUUUUUACUAAAGGUUGGUUCCAAAAAUAUUUUUUCACAAAACGCUUUCAGCUAUUUUAAGACAAUAGCAGUUCCAACCGAAAACCAGAAAGUCUCAAUGAAUCCAAGAAAAUACAACAACAACAAAGCCUUUUCCCACUAAGUGGGGUCGGCUAUGUGAAUCCUAGAACGCCAUUGCGCUCGGUUUUGUGUCAUGUCCUCCGUUAGAUCCAAGUACUCUAAGUCUUUUCUUAGGGUCUCUUCCAAAGUUUUCCUAGGUCUUCCUCUAACCAAGAAAAUAAAUUGAAAUUAUUAAGCUAAGAACAAUUAUGAACCUCAUAAACCAAAGCCACUCAAAUGCAAAACAUGCAACAACCUAACAAGUAUAUGAUUAUUUUUAGGGGAUCAACAAUCAGAAAGAACACGAUGAUAAUUCUGCUCUACAAAAAAAUAAAAGCAAAACAACCAAAAAGGAGAGGCCUUUUUUUUUAUGCAAUUGCAGUUGAGAGAAAAUGUGCUUCUUACGAGAAGUUUAAGUGUUUUUCAUGAUUCACUUGCAUUUUUAUUAUAGAUUAGUCCCAAAAACAUUUUUUCACAAAAAAAAAAAAAACGCUCUCAGCUAUUUUAAAAGCAGUUCCAAACGAUCCCUAAGAGAAGCAGAAAGUCUGGAUGUAUCCAAGAAAAGUUAAGGUAAGAACAAAUAUGAACCUCAUAACCCAAAGCCACCCAAAAGCAAAACAUGUAACAACCUAGCAAGUAUAUGAUUAUUUUUUAGAGGAUCAGAUCAACAAUCAGAAAGAACAAGAUGAUAAUUCUGCUAUACAAAAAAGAUGCAAAACAACCAAACAAAGAGAGGCCUUUUGUUAUGCAAUUGCAGUUGAGAGCAAAAGCACAGAUUUUUUCACUGAACAAAACUAAGCACAAAAAUACCCAAUCCAUCCAAAAUUAUAAAAAAUUCAGAACGAAAAAAAACUGGACAAAUACCCCAAUGAAUCUCCCAAUGAUGCAGGAAGAGUAAAGGACACAGAUUUAUCAGAGGGAGAAACCCAAAGAGGAAAUUACACAGGCAAAAAUACCAUCUGCAUAAAAACUUGAUCAAACACAACUAAUCAAUCACACACCAACAAAAACUACAGAGAAAAAACAGAAACUGCAGAGACAAUUAGGGUGCGUUUGGUACGCAGACGGGACGGGACGGAAUAGGACGGAACGGGACGGGACGGAACGGAACGAAGGUGUAAUUUUUUGAAAAAUACAUGGGGUAUAUUUGUCUUAAAAUGGUAAAACAAUGUGUUCCACAGACGUGGAACAAACCCGUUCCAGGGGGAAGUGGGACGCAAAANUUCGAUGGACUCAAGUACAUAACGGUUAUAUGCAUGUUAACUGGAAGAUGUGAUGAUAUUGAUUUUUUCAAUCGAAAUCAGUGUUCUUGAUUUUUACAUUAUAUAAUCUACUGCAAACACAUAAAGACACAGAAUGGAUAUUUUGAACUAAAUUCACGAACUCAUGAUGCAUUACACAUUCUUACCUUGGUCCUUUUUGGGGAAAAACAACACAAUCAACCAUAUGGUACAACUCUGGCACAUCCACAGCCUUUAAAACACGUACAUCGCCAGGGUGCAAACAAGGGUUCUUAGCAACAGCUACCUUCCCCACAAUAAUGAAUCGCUGGUUUGAUGCACUUACAGUAUGCCUGUUACCAGAGAAUUGCACAAACACCUCACCAUAUUCCAAUGUUCUGGUUUCAUCUAGACAUCCCAUCAUUGCUCGUCCAUCUGGAAUAAAGAUUCUUGUUUUCGUCCGCAACUCUAGCAACUUUGAUGCCCGAAAUGUUUGCAGCAUCAUUGAAAUGAAGGGUUCAACAUCAGGUUUAUAACCACAUAUAAGCAAUUCCUUCAAGCAGUUGGUAGUCUCCCCUGCAGACAUCAAAUCCAGAGCCUCUUGUGCUUUUAGUGGGUCAGUCAAUAUAGCAUUCAAUUGUUGUACAGCUGCCUUUUGUUUUUUCAUGAAAGCAGGAU
RNAcentral lists this long non-coding RNA (20775 nucleotides) under Malus domestica (apple). RNAcentral's name for it is "long non-coding RNA (MDOM_LNC011728)". The record is from RNAcentral. Lineage: Eukaryota; Viridiplantae; Streptophyta; Magnoliopsida; Rosales; Rosaceae.